This 466-nucleotide ribosomal RNA is filed under the name uncultured bacterium. RNAcentral's name for it is "partial 16S ribosomal RNA". It matches the Rfam family "Bacterial small subunit ribosomal RNA", at positions 28 to 507 of the family's 1533-position model. The record is from RNAcentral.
GAUGAACGCUGGCGGCGUGCUUAACACAUGCAAGUCGAACGGUGAAAGAGAGCUUGCUCUCUGGAUCAGUGGCGAACGGGUGAGUAACACAUGAGCAAUCUGCCCCUGACUCUGGGAUAAGCGCUGGAAACGGCGUCUAAUACCGGAUACGAGCUGCGAAGGCAACUUCAGCAGCUGGAAAGAACUUCGGUCAGGGAUGAGCUCGCGGCCUAUCAGCUAGUUGGUGAGGUAACGGCUCACCAAGGCGUCGACGGGUAGCCGGCCUGAGAGGGUGACCGGCCACACUGGGACUGAGACACGGCCCAGACUCCUACGGGAGGCAGCAGUGGGGAAUAUUGCACAAUGGGCGAAAGCCUGAUGCAGCAACGCCGCGUGAGGGACGACGGCCUUCGGGUUGUAAACCUCUUUUAGCAGGGAAGAAGCGAAAGUGACGGUACCUGCAGAAAAAGCACCGGCUAACUACGUG